UACGGAGGGUGCAAGCGUUAUCCGGAUUCACUGGGUUUAAAGGGUGCGCAGGCGGAUUUGUAAGUCAGUGGUGAAAGCCCCGGGCUCAACCUGGGAAUUGCCGUUGAUACUGCAAGUCUUGAGUGCAGUUGAGGUGGGCGGAAUACAUCAUGUAGCGGUGAAAUGCUUAGAUAUGAUGUAGAACACCGAUUGCGAAGGCAGCUCACUAAACUGCAACUGACGCUCAGGCACGAAAGCGUGGGUAUCAAAC
Molecule: ribosomal RNA, 250 nt
Filed under: uncultured bacterium
Lineage: Bacteria
Description: partial 16S ribosomal RNA
Rfam family: Bacterial small subunit ribosomal RNA
Source: RNAcentral